Gigantopelta aegis is the source of this 814-nucleotide long non-coding RNA. RefSeq lists it as uncharacterized. NCBI's taxonomy places the organism in Eukaryota, Metazoa, Mollusca, Gastropoda, Neomphalida, Peltospiridae. The record is from RefSeq and is a predicted model, not a curated record. The transcript is spliced from 2 exons.
UAUAUAGAAAAAUGUAUUGAAUCGUGUUCCCUAUCUUGUAGGAAAUACAAACAUCCAUCGUAUAACUAGCCAGGGUCACUAUGAUCUGAGAAUUGACUUGGAAGACUUUGAAGGAAACACCAGGUACGCGCUGUAUAAGAACUUUUCCGUGGCAUCAAAGCAGGACUACUUCAGGUUGAGUGUUGGAGAAUACAGUGGGGAUGCAGGAAACGGUCUUGGUAUCCACAGUGGUUACAAAUUCUCAGCAAAAGAUUUGGAUGUGGAUACAUACCCUUCCAGCUGUGCCCAGAAGUUCAAAGGAGCCUGGUGGUACACGUCCUGCCAUUCCUCGAACCUGAACGGGCAGUAUUUAGGAGGACCUCACGCGUCGUACGCGGAUGGCGUGGAGUGGAGUAGCUGGCGAGGUCAAUACUAUUCUAUGAAAACAUCAGUGAUGAAAAUCAGACCAAUGAAAUUCUGAAAGAAUAGUAAUGAAAAUUGCAUUGCUGGUAUUAUGAAGACUAGAUUCCCGGAAGUAUGAAGAUUAGAUUCCUGUAAUUAUGAUGAUUCAGGCAAUUAUGAAGAUGAGAAACCAGGAAUUCCAAAACAAAUAUUAUAUUAGUCAUCACGAAUAUUAUAUCCCACACAUUAUUAAGACAACAUCCCAGAAUAUUACAUUCCUAGAAUUACUAAUAAAUUAUGAAGUUUCUUGAAAUUGUCACAAACAUAUUGCUAUUUGUAUCAACCUGAAAUGCAAGAAAUAUAUCAUUGUAUGUGAUGUAUCGUAUUCAUUAAUUUAAAAUCUCAAAUGCAAGAAAUAUAUCAUUGUAUGUGA